This 379-nucleotide long non-coding RNA is filed under the name Drosophila guanche. Lineage: Eukaryota; Metazoa; Arthropoda; Insecta; Diptera; Drosophilidae. The record is from RNAcentral.
CUAUAUGAAAUAAGAUAAACAUAUAAGAAGAUACCCCAACACCUGAAUAAACAACGCAUAAUUCGUCCAUACCGAAAUCAACAGGAAGUCCCAUGCAACCCAAAAGUCUGGAAUGCAAUAGAACGUAGCUGACCAAAACGUUAUCAGCUUGUUCCCACACUCCACACUAUGACUAAUUCAGAAUCAGUCCCACACUCCACUUGAAGGGAGAACUCUUGUAAACAAGUGAGUUCUCAAGAUGAAAGCUGGCACCAAUCACCAGCUGCGGCUGCCUGUUUCAUCCAAGCCGACGCUUAGGCCAACACAUCGCUUAUCAGCCGCUCUCACCAAAGCAUCGCCUCUCGCAACCGAAGCUUCGUCUCCCUCAGCCGAAGCCAUC